RNAcentral lists this ribosomal RNA (534 nucleotides) under uncultured bacterium. Its description in RNAcentral is "bacterial SSU rRNA". It matches the Rfam family "Bacterial small subunit ribosomal RNA", at positions 59 to 598 of the family's 1533-position model. The record is from RNAcentral.
ACGAAGCACUUUAUUUGAUUUCCUUCGGGACUGAUUAUUUUGUGACUGAGUGGCGGACGGGUGAGUAACGCGUGGGUAACCUGCCUUGUACAGGGGGAUAACAGUUGGAAACGGCUGCUAAUACCGCAUAAGCGCACGGCAUCGCAUGAUGCAGUGUGAAAAACUCCGGUGGUAUAAGAUGGACCCGCGUUGGAUUAGCUAGUUGGUGAGGUAACGGCCCACCAAGGCGACGAUCCAUAGCCGACCUGAGAGGGUGACCGGCCACAUUGGGACUGAGACACGGCCCAAACUCCUACGGGAGGCAGCAGUGGGGAAUAUUGCACAAUGGGCGAAAGCCUGAUGCAGCGACGCCGCGUGAGCGAAGAAGUAUUUCGGUAUGUAAAGCUCUAUCAGCAGGGAAGAUAAUGACGGUACCUGACUAAGAAGCACCGGCUAAAUACGUGCCAGCAGCCGCGGUAAUACGUAUGGUGCAAGCGUUAUCCGGAUUUACUGGGUGUAAAGGGAGCGCAGGCGGUGCGGCAAGUCUGAUGCGAA